UGCCAGCCGCCGCGGUAAUACGUAUGUCUCGAGCGUUACCCGGAAUCACUGGGUGUAAAGGGUUCGUAGGCGGUUUUAUAAGUUGGAUAUUAAAGACCGGAGCUCAACUCCGAAUUUGUAUUCAAAACUGUAAAACUAGAAUUAGGGAGAGGUAAGCGGAAUUCUAAGUGUAGGGGUGCAAUCCGUAGAUACUUAGAGGAACACCAAAAGCGAAGGCAGCUUACUGGAACUAUAUUGACGCUGAGGAACGAAAGCGUGGGGAGCGAAAAGGAUUAGAUA
This 279-nucleotide ribosomal RNA is filed under the name uncultured bacterium. Its description in RNAcentral is "partial 16S ribosomal RNA". It matches the Rfam family "Bacterial small subunit ribosomal RNA", at positions 506 to 784 of the family's 1533-position model. The record is from RNAcentral.